This 363-nucleotide long non-coding RNA is filed under the name Sus scrofa (pig). Its description in RNAcentral is "lncRNA (ENSSSCG00070021665.1)". Lineage: Eukaryota; Metazoa; Chordata; Mammalia; Artiodactyla; Suidae. The record is from RNAcentral.
CCGUGUCUGCGACCUACACCACAGCUCACAGCAACGCAGGAUCAUGGGAACCCAUUGAGCGGGGCCAGGGAUCCAACCUGCGUCCUCAUGGAAACCAGUUGGGAUCGUUACUGCUGAGCAGCAACGGGAAGUCUUCCAUGUUCUUUUCAUUAGAAAAGAGUCACUAAAUCCAGCCCACACUAAAAGUGAGGGAAUUAUAUAUAUAUAUAUAUAUAUAUAUAUAUAUAUAUAUAUAUAUUUUUGCUUUUUAGGGCCACAGCCACGCAUAUGGAGAUUCCCAGUCUAGGGGUCCAAUCAGAGCUACAGCUGCCAGCCUACAAGACAGCUACAGCAAAGCAGAUUCUGAGCUGCAUCUACGACCUA